Molecule: non-coding RNA, 84 nt
Organism: Rheinheimera sp. A13L
Lineage: Bacteria; Pseudomonadati; Pseudomonadota; Gammaproteobacteria; Chromatiales; Chromatiaceae
Source: Rfam
GCGCUCGAAAGGCAAGUCUCCCGAAAGGGAGUACACGCAAAGCUGCAGAUCUAAGGGGAAACCUAUGAUGGCUGGGCUGCCGUA